GACGAACGCUGGCGGCGUGCUUAACACAUGCAAGUCGAACGGAAAGGCCCUGCUUUUGUGGGGUGCUCGAGUGGCGAACGGGAGAGUAACACGUGAGUAACCUGCCCUUGACCUUGGGAUAACUUCAGGACACUGGGGCUAAUACCGGAUAGGAGCUCCUGCUGCAUGGUGGGGGUUGGAAAGUUUCGGCGGUUGGGGAUGGACUCGCGGCUUAUCAGCCUGUUGGUGGGGUAGUGGCUUACCAAGGCUUUGACGGGUAGCCGGCCUGAGAGGGUGACCGGCCACAUUAGGACUGAGAUACGGCCCAGACUCCUGCGGGAGUCAGCAGUGGGGAAUAGUGCGCAAUGGGCGGAAGCCUGAUGCAGCAACGCCGCGUGCGGGGUGACGGCCUUCGGGUUGUGAACCGCUUUCGCCUGUGACGAAGCGUGAGUGACGGUAAUGGGUAAAGAAGCACCGGCUAACUACGUG
Molecule: ribosomal RNA, 468 nt
Filed under: uncultured bacterium
Lineage: Bacteria
Description: partial 16S ribosomal RNA
Rfam family: Bacterial small subunit ribosomal RNA
Source: RNAcentral